CCUACGGGGGGCUGCAGUAGGGAAUCUUGCUCAAUGGGGGAAACCCUGAAGCAGCAACGCCGCGUGGAGGAUGAAGGUUUUCGGAUUGUAAACUCCUUUUGUUAGAGAAGAUAAUGACGGUAUCUAACGAAUAAGCAACGGCUAACUCCGUGCCAGCAGCCGCGGUAAUACGGAGGGUGCAAGCGUUACGCGGAAUCACUGGGCGUAAAGAGCGCGUAGGCGGGAUAGCAAGUCAGAUGUGAAAUCCUAUGGCUUAACCAUAGAACUGCAUUUGAAACUGUUAUUCUAGAGUAUGGGAGAGGUAGGUGGAAUUCUUGGUGUAGGGGUAAAAUGCGUAGAGAUCAAGAGGAAUACUCAUUGCGAAGGCGACCUGCUAGAACAUAACUGACGCUGAUGCGCGAAAGCGUGGGGAGCAAACAGGAUUAGAUACCCGGGUAGUC
RNAcentral lists this ribosomal RNA (440 nucleotides) under uncultured bacterium. RNAcentral describes it as "partial 16S ribosomal RNA". It matches the Rfam family "Bacterial small subunit ribosomal RNA", at positions 338 to 795 of the family's 1533-position model. The record is from RNAcentral.